GGGGAGGACACCAUCUGAGUGG
This 22-nucleotide microRNA is filed under the name Ovis aries (sheep). Its description in RNAcentral is "miRNA 38-i". Lineage: Eukaryota; Metazoa; Chordata; Mammalia; Artiodactyla; Bovidae. The record is from RNAcentral.